This 57-nucleotide transfer RNA is filed under the name Bos taurus (domestic cattle). It matches the Rfam family "tRNA", at positions 8 to 63 of the family's 71-position model. From Rfam's summary of the family: Transfer RNA (tRNA) molecules are approximately 80 nucleotides in length. Their secondary structure includes four short double-helical elements and three loops (D, anti-codon, and T loops). The record is from Rfam by way of RNAcentral. RNAcentral also lists the same sequence under 4 other names. Lineage: Eukaryota; Metazoa; Chordata; Mammalia; Artiodactyla; Bovidae.
UGGCUCAGACAGUAGAGAAUCUGCCUGCAAUGCAGGAGACCCAGGUUCGAUUCCUGG